CUUGUGAGAGGGUGGAGCCCGUUGAAAAAAACUGAAACGUGUGAAGUUAAAGUCAGCUUCCUCGCUGGCUGAGAGGACCAGAGGCCCACCUGCGCUGUCACUGGGCUUUGGUGCCAGGAAAAAUGGACAAGCUUCUGGGAGCAGUAUUUUUAAUUCUGUGGCUUCAAGUAAGCUGGGUGAGUGGACAACAGAAUGGAAAAAGUGACCAACAGCAGGUGAAACAGAGCCCUCAGCCCCUGGCAGUCCACGAAGGAGCAGUUUCAAUUCUGAACUGUACUUAUGAGAAUGAUGCAUUUGACUACUUCCCAUGGUACCGGCAGUACCCUGGUCAAGGCCCUGAAUCCUUGAUAGCCAAAACUUCAGCUGGGAAUAAAAAGGAAGAUGGAAGAUUCAAAGUUUCCUCCAAUAAAAGUGCUAAGCACUUCUCAUUGCACAUCAAGGACUCCCAGCCCGGAGACUCAGCCACCAACUUCUGUGCAGCAAGUGCAUGGUGCUCCCCAGGCCCCUGUAGCCUGUACCCAAACCUGCAGCCAGGGCUCCAGCCACAUCCUGAUGUGUAGUUGAAAUAUUCACACAUAGACACACACACACACACACACACACACACACACACUCUGUUAGUCCAUAAAACAGUCUUAGUACAUUUUAAAAAACUAAAGUUAUGCGAAAUUUCUACCUUGACCAUAAG
Molecule: non-coding RNA, 688 nt
Organism: Camelus dromedarius (Arabian camel)
Lineage: Eukaryota; Metazoa; Chordata; Mammalia; Artiodactyla; Camelidae
Source: the annotation of a RefSeq genome assembly